GUGGGGAAUCUUGCACAAUGGGGGAAACCCUGAUGCAGCGACGCCGCGUGAGCGAUGAAGCCCUUCGGGGUGUAAAGCUCUUUCGGCGGGGACGAUUAUGACGGUACCCGCAUAAGCAGCUGCGGCUAACUACGUGCCAGCAGCCGCGGUAAUACGUAGGCAGCAAGCGUUGUUCGGAAUUACUGGGCGUAAAGAGUGCGUAGGCGGAUGGGCAAGUCUGGUGUGAAAUCUCCCGGCUCAACUGGGAGGGUGCGCCGGAAACUGCCCGUCUGGAGUGUGGGAGAGGGAAGUGGAAUUCCUGGUGUAGCGGUGAAAUGCGUAGAUAUCAGGAGGAACACCGGCGGUGUAGACGGCUUCCUGGACCACUACUGACGCUGAGGCACGAAAGCGUGGGGAGCAAACAGGAUUAGAAACCCCAGUAGUCC
This 425-nucleotide ribosomal RNA is filed under the name uncultured bacterium. RNAcentral describes it as "bacterial SSU rRNA". It matches the Rfam family "Bacterial small subunit ribosomal RNA", at positions 354 to 796 of the family's 1533-position model. The record is from RNAcentral.